Molecule: long non-coding RNA, 4536 nt
Filed under: Canis lupus familiaris (dog)
Lineage: Eukaryota; Metazoa; Chordata; Mammalia; Carnivora; Canidae
Description: lncRNA (ENSCAFG00000052077.1)
Source: RNAcentral
UGUAAUUAUAAAAUAAACCAUACCCUAGCAGGCAAAUCAUUUUAAUGUGUUUUGAGGAUUGAAUAUUCUGUAUGGAAUUAAAAACAAAGAAAAAAAAUCAACGUGCAGAAAAUUAAUUAAAAAGAGGUAAGACACAGAAAACCUUCGAGUGUCAUAAAAUUACAAAUACAAAAGCAACAAAUUAAAACACAUACACACACACAAUUACAGGUUUUGGUAACAUUAGUAGCCAGAACAUACUCAGUGAAUUGCAUACUUGUCAAAUAUCUUACUGAUUUUGAAAGGGGGGUGGGGGGCUGGUGGUGAUGAUUAACUUCAGUUGACCCCAAAGGAUCUGAGUCUUCCUUCCGCUGCUAGCAAACCUGUAAAGGUGGCAUCGAGUCACUUUGCAAAGUGUUCCUUUGCUCAAAGAAAACUGACCCGGAAGGUUGAUUCCCUCAGCCCUGCCCCACCACCACAUCUGCACAUUCGUUUACCUCUUUUAACUAAGGCAACCAAAAGACAAUUUCUUGAGACCCCAACACACCCUCAGAAGCCAUAAAUUCCAUUCCUGUUAAAAAAGAGGAAUUAACUUCCAAGCUGAGGGCAGGAAUUCUGUAAAGUGUGGGAUGGUUCACUGUUACAGAGUGUGUGUUGAAAUGUCUCUAGAGGGGGUGGAUGGCAGUGGAUGAAGACCCCGGCAAGCCCUGGGUUGAGCAGUGACCUGUAUGAGAAAGGUGACACACGGGUCAGUCCUCAGGGAUGGUUUCACCUCUAUACACACCGCUGAGGUAGGAGCUUCGGGAGAAAAGCAGAGUAUCUUAAGGGAAUGAGAACGUCAUCUUGGCAAAUCAGUGGCCUCUUGCUCAGUUGGGGGCCUAAGGCGGUCAGAGUCACAGGCCACGCGGGGCCACGCAUGACCUUACAAAAUUUAAGAGUUGUAUCAGAACACAGCCACAGAAGGGAGUGAGAUCCAAGACAAAGCCACUGGAGGCGGGCGAGACCCACAGGGCACCUGCUGUCUAGUGCAAGUUCAAGGGGGUGGAGUGGGGGACAGGGGGGUGAAGUGGAAAACCCUGGCAGCAACCUACAAAACUGUUAUUAGCAAAUGGUAUCAAAAAGUAUCAAAACAUUUCAAAAAACUUUAAAAACUGCCAGGCUCGGCAGACGUAUAGGGAGGGAUCUCCAAGUGCCCAGGGAGUUGCCCUGCACUCCAGAGGUUUAUUCUGGAGGCCAGAACACGGCCCCCUCUGCUCCUCACUCCACUGAAGAUACUUGGAAUCCAUGGAGAUGCCAAGGAUGGAGCUGGCCCUCCAGAGGUGGGGGUGGUGGUCUGAGAUUCCAGCCAAAAGCUUUGAGACACAGAAAGCCCGUGAGGUACUCCUUAGGCAGGUGCUGGCUAAGCCACAUGCCAUGGAGAACCAGAAAAGAUAAAGGCUGAUAACUCUACAAGGGGGUGGGGGUGGAGGUCUUUCACUUCCGGCGUUGCUGCAAACCAUUGAAAGGUCACCCUGGCUUUGGGGCCAGGUAUUGUGAACUGCAGGUUAAUACACCUGAGCUCACAGCGUGGGACCUGGGACCUUGGACCUCAGAGCAGGGACUGGGACCCCAUUCCCUUUGGCAUUUGGGCUUCCACCCAAAACUGAAAACCCCUUAGGGUUAGCUUCUGGAGUUUCUACUAAGUCACCGUGAGGUCCCCUUAUCGUUAAAGAGCAAGGUGAAGGGGCAUUUAGAACAUAAUUACACACACAAGCCUUUCUGCUCAGAUCAAGAUCUGAAAGUCCUACCUGGCAGUCUAAAAUGCUAAAAUGUUAACACUCGACAUCUAAGAUGUUAAAAAUGCCGAUUGAGCCAUACGCACAAGUUGCUAAGACAACCUCUGUAUAUUUAGCAGGAAGACCACUCUAAGUAACAAGGACUCCCCAGCUUUCUAGUCUCCUCCCUUCUGGUAUUACAUUUAUGUCUUAAGCAAACAGGGUUCCAACUUGGGUGACGAUCAAACUCCAAGCAUACAAUGGAUGCGAAGCUACAACUCUAGUUCUUUAAAAGUGAGAGAAAAAUAAAUCCUGAAUGAAAGCCCACUCUGCUUAUUCUGAAAGAUCAAAAGAAACGAUUUGGGUGUUCUCAAAGUUCUCAAAGGCAGCAAAAUGGUGCUGUUGCGUCUCAAGAUGAUGGCCCGUAAGAACCCAAUCUUUGUCACUGGGCUUGGAAACCACUACCAGGAUUCUUCAGUUCAAAUGGCCACCUCCAAGAGUACAGCCCCAAGUUCUGCCCAUCUGGGUUAAGAAGCAUUUCCUUCCAUCCUCAGUUGGACAGCACAGCAGAGUGAUUGCCAUCUUAACAACAUGGGCAGCAGAUACCCAUCAUGGGUCCCAUCACAGUGCAAAUGCGGCUCACCAGUCACAAUGUUCCUUUCCAUCAACACAGAUAAGCUCAAAAACCUUUCUUAGCAUGGGGAAACCACCUCCAAUUACGUGAGGCUCAUCCAUGAGAAGAAACUCAUCAACCUUACCUUUAAAAGAACCCUAACGAUAUUAGAUUCCAAGCCACAUAAAUGACAAACUGCCUUCACAGUGGCAGGAGUGACACCACAAAGUAUGAGGUGCAGGACAUGGUAUGGAAUUCACAAGGCACAAGAAAAUUUGAAUAGCACCAGCACUGCACCUGUAUCUGGGGAUAGGUCACGGUAGUCAAAAAUACAAUGGCUGGCUUCGGCUAAAAACUGAAGGCUCUCCUCUUCCCGAGGUCAAAGCCAUCCUGCUCCCCAAAGCACACAUGGAAUCUGUGUGCUUUUCCCCACCUGCCCCAGACUCUGAUUCAACAACCACCUCUUUGUGACUUAGAACAGAUCACAGGUACCAUGCCUUCUAAAGGGUCCUCUAAUAAUAAAAUCUUUCCUGGAAUAGGAAGAGGGUAAGCUAUACCAAAGUUGGCAGAAGUUCUGCAAAACAUGGUUUGUGGAGGGCUGGACAAGGUAUGAGACCAAAAAAAAAAAAAGUUUCAGGCUCAGUGAAGUUUGGAAAUGCUGGAUUGAUAGAAGGUUAACUGUUAAGUUACCGCAGGACUUCUCAGAGCCUUUAAUACACUCGAGUAUUGUAGAGCUCCAAGAGUCUUUUUGGUUUGAUUGUUGGCAUGCCUUGCAGAACCUCUAGGGACUUCCAUGUGCACAAGCUAGCUCAGUCAGCAGAACCCUUGCUCCGCUGACAACAGAGGGCAAGGAUUUAGGUACUGAAGCUUUCAACGCCCCCUCCACUCAAAAUCACAGUAAUCCCUUAAAGGAAAGAAAAAGAAGUAAAGAGAUAGUUUAAAAAAAAAAAGUAAAUAAGUUAACUGGGAUUCAUAGUCUAACAUCAAGGUUAACAAGAGAUCUUGAAGCGUUCUCUGCUAUGUGAUCUUUGUCGAAAUGGAGAUCACGAACACCUCCCCCGUCCCUGUGUCCACAGCAGCUGGGGCAGGAGUCCCCAGCUGGCCUCUGAGGGCACAUGCUACUAGGGGUUCCUACAGAGAUCAGCGCAUGGCGCUCACACAUGGCAAAAGGAGGUGCCAAACACACAUUAAUAGCUUAUAUGUACUGAAUUAGCUCGCUGAGCCCUGGGAGGCAGUGGCUUUGACCAACUGCUCAAUGAGUGAGGAACAGCUAGGACUUGGUGAAGAAUUUGCUCAGCAGACGACAAAACGACUUAGCAGCAGACGGCUGAGUUGGGCGGGGGGGCGGGGGUACCUGACAUCCUCCUUCAGGAGCACAUUGUGCUCGGCUUGCUCAUGGAGGUGCUCUUGAGGGCUUUGUGGAGCCAAGCCAAAGAAAACAAUGGCAAAUUCUAGGAUGCCCACUUUUUCUUUCCUGAGAAACAAACAUAGAUUUUUGGGGGCUCAGUAUGUCGGUAGCAUAAGGAAGUAAGUUCGGGGAAAAAAAAAAAAACAACAAAAGAGCACAAAUAACAGAAAAAUGUAAGAGCUUCAUGUCCCCCCCCCCCCUUUUUUUUUAAGUUCCUUGAUUAUCUAGACCCUUUCAGAACUCAGGAAGAUAACCAAUCAGGAAAAUGGGACUACUCAGAAACAACAGUCACUGUUUCAGGAAAUCCUGGUGGGAACAUCUUCUGGUGAGAAGUUUCAGGUCUUGCCUGACUGUCCAGGGAGUGGGCAACCCACUCACCCUGCCGGGGUCUCCGUGUCCCCAAACAUAAACACAAAAGCACAUGACGUUGCCCAGGAUUGCCAAAGGUGGCUCAUGCUGUCAUCCUGGGAACUGGUUAUAGUUUCCAGGCACCGCCCCCUCCGCCCCUGCUCCUGGUAGUUUUAGGACGGAUAAUUCUGAGGUGGGGCCCAGGAAUCUGUAUGUUUAAAAGAUCAGCCAAGUUGAGGGAGGCGGGAACUGGGGAUGGGAACUGUCCCACCAAGCCCCCUCAUUUUACUUACAAAACUUUCUGUAUAUCCUCUGCCCUUGGAGACUCUCAGGAGGACGGCUGCGGGGGCACCCUCAGGGACUCAUAAUGAGGGAGGAAGCCUCACACAGAUACAAGGGGAUAUUUCCUGCCUGGGCCCGGGUUUAAUUAUUCA